Molecule: transfer RNA, 73 nt
Filed under: Felis catus (domestic cat)
Lineage: Eukaryota; Metazoa; Chordata; Mammalia; Carnivora; Felidae
Rfam family: tRNA
About the family: Transfer RNA (tRNA) molecules are approximately 80 nucleotides in length.
Source: Rfam by way of RNAcentral
GCCUGGCUGGCUCAGUCAGUAGAACAUGUGACUCUUAAUCUCCAGGUUGUGAGUUCGAGCCCCACGUUGAGCG